UACGUAGGGGGCAAGCGUUGUCCGGAAUUAUUGGGCGUAAAGGGCGCGUAGGCGGCCGAUCAAGUCGGAGGUGAAAUCCCUCGGCUCAACUGAGGAAUUGCCUUCGAUACUGUUCGGCUUGAGUCCUGGAGAGGGUAGCGGAAUUCCCGGUGUAGCGGUGAAAUGCGUAGAGACCGGGAAGAACACCAGUGGCGAAGGCGGCUACCUGGACAGGUACUGACGCUGAAGCGCGAAAGCUAGGGGAGCGAACAGG
RNAcentral lists this ribosomal RNA (253 nucleotides) under uncultured bacterium. RNAcentral's name for it is "partial 16S ribosomal RNA". It matches the Rfam family "Bacterial small subunit ribosomal RNA", at positions 524 to 776 of the family's 1533-position model. The record is from RNAcentral.